CCUACGGGAGGCAGCAGUGGGGAAUAUUGCACAAUGGGGGAAACCCUGAUGCAGCGACGCCGCGUGGGCGAGGAAGUACCUCGGUAUGUAAAGCCCUAUCAGCAGGGAAGAAACAGGACAGUACCUGACUAAGAAGCCCCGGCUAACUACAUGCCAGCAGCCGCGGUAAUACGUAGGGGGCAAGCGUUAUCCGGAUUCACUGGGCGUAAAGGGAGCGCAGGCGGCAUGGCAAGUCUGAUGUGAAAACCCGGGGCCCAACCCCGGGAGUGCAUUGGAAACUGCCAGGCUGGAGUGUCGGAGGGGUAAGCGGAAUUCCCGGUGUAGCGGUGGAAUGCGUAGAUAUCGGGAGGAACACCAGAGGCGAAGGCGACUUACUGGACUGUAACUGACGCUGAGGCUCGAAAGCGUGGGGAGCAAACAGGAUUAGAUACCCGUGUAGUC
RNAcentral lists this ribosomal RNA (441 nucleotides) under uncultured bacterium. Its description in RNAcentral is "partial 16S ribosomal RNA". It matches the Rfam family "Bacterial small subunit ribosomal RNA", at positions 338 to 795 of the family's 1533-position model. The record is from RNAcentral.